Spodoptera litura is the source of this 289-nucleotide non-coding RNA. The record is from RefSeq and is a predicted model, not a curated record. NCBI's taxonomy places the organism in Eukaryota, Metazoa, Arthropoda, Insecta, Lepidoptera, Noctuidae.
GUAAGAAGUCAAGCCAGCCCAGAAGAUACUCAGGAACCUUAUAUCGAUAAGGUCGCUAAUCAACCAGCUUCACAAGAACGAGAUGAAGAUAUAUCUCGUCCUGUUGACGAUGUAAUGGAUGACCCACCUGAUUAUAUUGCAUAUGAUAAACCAGUAGCACGGGUGAUAAAAGACUACUACAAAAUAGAACAAGAUAAUAAAAAUAAAAAAGCCAUUAUAGAUGCUAAAAUUGCCAAAGAACGGGGAUUGCUUGAUUUCCCUGAUCCAAACUACCCCCAAGAAGAUGGAG